CAGGGAUUCCCGUCCUCUCGGGUCCCGCUGCCCCGCCCCGACUGCGGACGGAGUGGAUGGGGUGCACCGCCUCAGACCCGCUUCCUGGGGUCGCGAACUUCCCGGGCCCCAAGGUCCCUGCCACCUCUUCCAAAUGCUGGAGGACUACGCACUUCUACAAGUGAGGUGACUUUUGAGGAAUUCAAGAAUGCUGAUCACAGCGGUUCCCCUUGGGUCUUACCUUCGGAGGGUCAAGGGAGGAUGGGUCAUCUGGAACCCACUUACAUCCAGGCCCCUCUGGGAGCCCUGGGGUUUGUGGCCAAAGAGGGUAGGAAGCCACUCCACAGAAAGGGGUUUAAACUUGUCUCUACCCUUUUUGUCGCUCUGACGCGCCCUUACAGCCAAACCUACGUACUCCACCCCAGCUCCUAAGGCACCGGAUAUACACAGUGAUCUAAGGAGAGGGUCGCUUUGGAAAGAAAAGGCAUUGACUGCCCAAGGGCAGGAGGGAGGUCUGAUGCGGUCUCCUUUCCUUUACCUUAUUCUUUGCGCCUGAAGUUUCUACUUUGGAGCUUCAGAAACUAUUUUCCUUCUCCUCUAUCAAUCUAAAGUCUGUUAUAUAGGAGCAGUGCCCCCAAGUCCACCUCAGCACCGCCACCGUCAUCACAAGCACAGCCAUCAGGAUUGGGCACAACCUGCCCUAAUUUGGAUCGCCGUUUAUUUUUACUGUUGUUUUGGCAGGGUGGGGAUUGCUUUACAUUCGCUGGAGAUGAAUUAUAAUUCUCCCCUCCAACCAGGGUGGGCUUCAUGGGUGUGCGACUAUGCAGUUGUAUAGGCCACAGCUCAUAAGACCCGUGUUUGGUUUAAUAUUCUGGGACAAUAGUCUACUGUCGCUGUUUUGUUCUUCUUCAUAAUUUUUAAUCAAGGAGUCUCACAUUUGUAUUUUGCAAUGGGCCACGCAGAUAAUGUAGUCAGCUUUGCCUCUCUCUUCGCCACUUCCCUAGACUUUCCCCUUCCUCUGCAAUGUUCAUCUAUAAUUGUUCAUCAGACCAGGCUAAAUAAGGAUAAUGGCACAAAAGAAAAAUAAGACCCAAAUGGAGACAUCAACCACAGACACCUGGCAAAAAAUCUUCUGCUAAAACCUGAUUUUGUGACAAAAUGCUGCCUUAUCUUGCUGAUGAUUUCAUGGACAAUAAAAGGAAAGAAGAUGAAGAAGAACAUUCUAAGGUCCCUAACCUUUGCACUUUGCUGCUCCGAUUGAAUGUCAAAGUCGACAAGUGUCAAUAAUGGAAUUUGAAUGCUUGUUGGUUUGUCUGUGCAACAGCAGUUCUAUCAAUGCUCAGAACGUCUUGGUCUUCCUUUAUUUUUUCUUUCAAUACAUGUUCAUCUAGAUUUGACCUUCCAAAUUGGACUUUUAAAAAAUCACUUAUUUGGCCAGGCGCAAUGGCUCACACCUGUAAUCCAAGC
Molecule: long non-coding RNA, 1446 nt
Filed under: Homo sapiens (human)
Lineage: Eukaryota; Metazoa; Chordata; Mammalia; Primates; Hominidae
Description: HSALNT0376181
Source: RNAcentral